Molecule: long non-coding RNA, 306 nt
Organism: Saccostrea cuccullata (small rock oyster)
Lineage: Eukaryota; Metazoa; Mollusca; Bivalvia; Ostreida; Ostreidae
Exons: 3
Source: RefSeq, a predicted model, not a curated record
UGUGAUCCCGGAUAUUAUGGAGAAAAAUGUCUGACACCAUGUACGUUUGGAAGGUAUGGCGAAGGCUGUAAGGGAAUAUGUGGUCACUGUGAAAGCAAUAAAACUUGUAAUUAUGUCAAUGGAUCCUGUUCCGGGCUAUGUGAACCUGGAUAUCAUGGGGAGAACUGCCUAACAAAAUACAAGGAUGGCUGGUUUGGCAAAGAAUGUAAUGGGGUAUGUGGUUACUGUAGAGGUAACAAACCAUGCCAUCACGUGACCGGAUCUUGUUCUGGAUUAUGUGAACCUGGAUUCCAUGGGGAGAAUUGU